GGCGGGAUAGCUCAGUUGGUUAGAGCGUCGGAUUCAUAACCCGGAGGUCAUGAGUUCAAUUCUCAUUCCCGCUACAA
Molecule: transfer RNA, 77 nt
Filed under: Bacteroidia bacterium
Lineage: Bacteria; Pseudomonadati; Bacteroidota; Bacteroidia
Description: tRNA-Met
Rfam family: tRNA
About the family: Transfer RNA (tRNA) molecules are approximately 80 nucleotides in length. Their secondary structure includes four short double-helical elements and three loops (D, anti-codon, and T loops).
Source: RNAcentral